RNAcentral lists this ribosomal RNA (432 nucleotides) under uncultured bacterium. RNAcentral describes it as "bacterial SSU rRNA". It matches the Rfam family "Bacterial small subunit ribosomal RNA", at positions 94 to 518 of the family's 1533-position model. The record is from RNAcentral.
ACCGGCGCGACGGGUGAGUAACGCGUAUCGCAACCUACCUAUACAGGAGGGGAACGUAACCCGGCGAAAGUCGGACUAAUACCGCAUAAAACAGGGGCACCGCAUGGUGAUAUUUGUUAAGAAAUUCGCUGAUAGAUGGGCAUGCGUUCCAUUAGGUAGUUGGUGAGGUAACGGCUCACCAAGCCGACGAUGGAUAGGGGAACUGAGAGGUUGGUCCCCCACACUGGUACUGAGACACGGACCAGACUCCUACGGGAGGCAGCAGUGAGGAAUAUUGGUCAAUGGGCGGGAGCCUGAACCAGCCAAGUCGCCGUGAAGGAAGAAGGAUCUAUGGUUCGUAAACUUCUUUUGCAGGGGAAUAAAGUGCAGGACGUGUCCUGUUUUGUAUGUACCCUGAGAAUAAGGAUCGGCUAACUCCGUGCCAGCCGCCGC